GUUGCAAGACUCUCCUUUGUAUGUAUUGAUUGAGGAAGUCCAUUUUUUGCUCCCCGUAUCCUUCAGUUCCCUCAUUCUGAUUGGAUAGAUAUGGGGGCAUAGAAAUGUGGGGAAAGCAAGGAGGAGAAAAAUGGACAGUGAACCUUCCUCACUCGCUGCAGCCAGGGACAUCACUGCAGCAGAGCUUUCCGUGAGUGUGACCUGAAACCAUGGGAUCAUCUUCUGCAAGUAGGUGUUUAAAUAGCAGCAACUUUCAGACAAAAAUGCAAACCAUUAAGAUUAAAAAAACAGCAACAACAAACAGCUUUUUCAGGAGCAAGCUCAAUUUAAUUAUAUGAAGGAUUCUAAGGUCUAUAAAAUCAGAUGGGCUGGCUGUGAGCAUAAUAGGAAUAUUUGAGUAUGUUUGGAUUAGGUAAGCUUUUGUCAUAUAUAUUCUAGGAUUAAUCUAAUCUAAAAGCCUGUUUUUUCAGCAGAGAUUCAUCAUUACUAGCAAAGCAGAUUUCAGAUUAGAAGGCAUCAGUGUUGCAUUCUUCUGCUGCUGUCCUUUGGAAAAUGUGACUUUGCCUUCAUUGCCUGUCCUUAAUUUUAUUGGGGAAACUUGCUGUGGGCACUAGUAGACUCUAAAGUGAAUAAUCUGAAACCACAUAGCCCCUUGUGGACACCAACAGAGAGCCCAUGGGAAUCUGAGCGUGUAAUAACCAUGAUUUAUUUUACUGAUGAUCAGAGACAGAUGAAGCUGCCAGUAUGUCAGUGACUGGGCAGACCUCUGGUGGGAAUAUAGAAACCUGACUGAGGAAGACCCUUGGCACAGUCCCUGACCAGCUCUUUAAAAGAAGGGGCUACCCUGACCUGUCUAUGACUUAUCUUAAGACAUGAAGCGUGAAGGCAUGUAAACUAGUAUGAAGACGAGGAACAACGUAGGUGCCAGGGUAGUCCUCCUGCUUGUCUCUGCUUCCCUACAGUCUACCUCAUGAAAAUCUCUUAAUCUUUCACAGACCCGCCUUGCGAACAACUGUUGUAAUUGGAUGAGCUACACAUCAGGUGCUGCAAUGGAAAAGUGUUGUGAGCAAGAGAGCCAGUAAAUUGCUGUGUUUUUUACCCUUGAGACUUCAGUGACCUCUGCCAUCGAGCAUCACUCCUGUCCCUUCUGGAGAUCGGUGGCCAUACUUGAGCGCUGAAUUUAUCAGCUUCUUACUGAGUGCAGAUGUGCUGACUAUCGCAAGCAUUGACAGACUGCUCUCAGCCCUAGUAUUGACUUCCUCGACUGUUCAUCAUGUUGGAGUUGUUAGGCAUCCUUAGGGCAGUUGUGAAGUACAGCAUCAGGGGAAUCAGCUGAUGGCAUGCCCUCUGCCUGGAGAGCCCCAGCCUUGCCCAAGCCUGCAGCUUGGGGCUUGUUCUGCAGGAGCAGCACAGACUUCUGGAGGAUUCCUUUGUACAAGCAUGAGCUUGCCAAGCUGGGCAGGAACAAGUAUGCCUAUGAGUGCAUUUCUGUCCAGAAGAUGAGUUGGCUGCACAUGAACCUUGACCAUUUCAAGUCUAAGACUGACGAGUAAGGAAAAUAAAGGUCUCAGCACUUAGCCCAUGAUGACCGUUUUGCAGAAAUAGAACGCCAAGCAAGAAGAACGAAGCCUGCAGGAGUACAAGGAGGAAAUGAAAGUUGCCGUACCGACAGGGCUACACAAAUCCCGCGAUGGGUGGAUUAGGCUGAGCGUUAUCAGUGAUGAUGAAACACAGCAGACUGUGAAAAUCCAGAGCACAUUUCAAGGCAUAAACCUUGGAAAAACUGAAGAAUUGACACUGAAGCUACAGAAGUAGAGAGUAUAGACCUUGGCAUUAUACUUGGACAAAGCUUGCAGUCUGCAUCUGGCGAGGAUGGCACUGCUGGGUCAAUGCAC
Molecule: long non-coding RNA, 1895 nt
Filed under: Gallus gallus (chicken)
Lineage: Eukaryota; Metazoa; Chordata; Aves; Galliformes; Phasianidae
Description: lncRNA (ENSGALG00010012434.1)
Source: RNAcentral